AAGAACCUGUACACAUAGAGAGGGAGAGCGCGAGCGCUGCGCGUGAGAGGACAGAGCUCAUCAGCGGGAAUGGCGGAGACCGUUCGCUCGCUCUUUGACUACCGGGAGCCGCCGACGCUGGACAGCGACGGAGAGAGCAGCAAACCGCCGCCGCCGCGAGGACGUGGCUGUGGAAGAAAAAGGAAAGGGACACCAGUGAAAGUGUGCGACAGAGUCUUUGCCACAGAGGAUGAGGAAGAGAGCAUGUCAGAAAACAGCUAUGGACCAGAGAAAGGUGAUGGUCGUGAGAACAAACAUGAAGUCCCUGCUGCUGAUGGACCAUACUAUGAAACACAAUCUGCUCAGCUCUGUGUGAGUGAGGAGGGCUCUAGCGGAGUGAGGGGGGCUGUCUCGUACCCCCCAACACCAAACUGCCGCAUUCGUGAAGUGCACUGUGGAAAUCAAGUGCGACUGAUUGUCAUAGCGAUCCGCGACAUCGCUAAGGGGGAGGAGAUCACUGUGGAUUACAGUUUGACGGAGUGGGGAGAAAACGUUGCAGGUUUCCAUGGCACUGUGACUCCUAGUAGCUUUGAUUGCAGCUCAGACCACGAGAGCAACAUUAAAAAGGAGGAAGAGUCCAGCGCAGUUCCAGUUUCUGUGUCGGAAUACCUCACACCUUCCUGGUCUCUCUCUCCUUCAUCCUCUCCUCUCUCUCACUCUGAGCCCAGUGAUUCAGACCUCGACUCGGAUGAUGCCAAUGGAGAGAUGCGCAUGCGAACACCUCACCACCGCAAGAGGCACAAAGCCCUCUCCUCUCCUGCUGCACAUGCCAAGAGAAAGGCACCUCAGCGACCCCCCAACCAUCCUCCCUCAUUUCCACUUUCCAUCCCAACCUCCCUGCUGCAGCCCACUGCUUCUUCCAGACCUGUGUUUAAGUGCCCACGGCCUGCAGGAGUUCCUUCUAAUAGUGUUAGUGUGUCAGUGGGUCGUGGGCAGAGCACAAUGGCACAGAAACAGCGCUGUGUUUACUGUGGCCGUCAUUUCCGAUCUCUCCCACGCCAUCUGAACAAACACCACGCCCAACAGCCUGACGUGCGCACUGCCCUGGAGCAAGCGCACGCCUCUGAUAACUCUCAUUGUGUACACUCAUCUCUCCCAUCAUCAAGCAAACAUUCCCAAUGCCCCCAAGUGGCUCGUGUGCCAGGUGUAGUGGUGGAAACGCCACAGUCACCUCCUCUUCUUCUUUGUCUCCAGUCAGAAGGAGCCCUGCACUCUCUAGCCCUAGUCGCAAAAGUCCUGCCCCAGCCCUGACAACUCCGCCUAGAGGUGGAGGUGUUCCAGUAUCUGUGUUAAAGAGGAGCCCACCUACACCUGCUACUCCUCCCAGAAAAGGAGGACGAAAAAUUAAAAAGGAGAAAGAGGAGGUAGACGUUUUUGAGAAGACGAAAGAGGUAGUGCCCAUUUCAGUGUUUGCAGAGCAUGUGAAGCUGUCAGAAUCUUCGAAAGAAGAGAGAGAUGACAAUGGAGGGAGAGAAGAAGAAAGCGGAGCGGAGGAUAAGACCGACCUAUCAAGUUCACGUCGACCCCACAUGCUUCCACUUCUUGCCUCCCUCUCUUCCCUGGUGUUGUAUCUGCGGCGGCUGCAGCAUUCCGCCUUCAUUUCUCUCUCCCGCUCGCCACAGUCAGCUGAGGCCUGGCGUCUCCUCUGUCACUCCAGCCUGGCCCUUCUCAUCCUUUACAACCGCCGGCGUGAAUGUGAAGUCUCCAAACUCACCAUUUCCGAGUAUCAGGUCCGCGUCACACCCCAGUACCCCAUCCCCAUGGCACCUGGUGCCCCACCAACUCUAACCCCACUCGAGGCCUCACUCUCACCAUUCGAGCGGAUGGUCCUCCCCCAUCUCCCUCGCGUCGGGGUCCAAGGGAAACGUGGCCGCGUGCAGCCGCUCAUCCUCCCGCCACAUUCUGAGGCCUGUCUGGAGAUGCUUUUGCAGACUCGUGCUGGUGUGGGAAUCGAUCCACAGAACCCCUACGUGUUUGCCCGGCCGUAUCAUUCGCCUGCUACUCCCCUGCGAGGGACAGACUUACUACGCAGCUUGGCUCGGUCCAGUGGUACACGGCACCCACGGGCACUGACGCAGACACGUGUUCGCCGACAGGUGGCGAUACUUACACAGCUCCUGUUGUUGAGUGAGGGCGAGGAGGAAGGGCACCGCGGGGCUGCCACACAGCGAUUGGAAAGCUUUUUGCAGAAAGAGUAUCAUGUAACACAAAGCUGUGCAACCAUCGGCCAAGACCCAGGGCUGAUGGGUCUGAUUGGUCGGGUGGUACUAUGUGGAGAGAGAGAUGGCGUCUUGUUCCGAGGAAUGAGUUUACAUCACAUCUGUCUGGAGUUAGAUGUGUUGUCAGGAAACUCUGCUGACUCUCUGUCAGAGGAGUCGGAUGCUGAGCAGAGUAAAGAGAAACCAGAAGCACCAUCUCCUGCAACCACCAUUAUGAUGAAGAAAACCACAAGCAACAGCAAAUCCCCCCGGCCUAAGAAAAUGAACAGCAGCUCCCUGAUCUCAACGGGACGUAAAAAGACCUCAGGACAGCCCAAGCCUGGUAAACGUGGUGUGCUAAAGCGGCCUUGGUCUGAGGCAGAGCGGGCAGCUGUUGAGUCCCACCUGGUGCAAAACAUUAUGGAGCUUCGUGUGCCCGCCAAAGCAGACUGUGAGCGCUGCCUGGAGCUCUGCCCCCUGUUGGUCACUAACCACCGGGACUGGAGGGCUGUUAAGUUCUACUGCCACAACCGUAUACAGCUGCUCAAGAAAACCCAGCAAAGGCAGAGUCCACCCACCCUGUCCGUCUGCUGAGGCUGUGAAUCAGCACGCUGCUGGGAAGGGUCAACCAAUAACAGCAGAUACAUAAGGGAGGGAAUGUGAGGAGGUGAAAAUAUUUACAUGGUACAGUCACAGUAAACAGUGCAAAUGCUUUAAUUAAUGUGUUGUAAGUGAUUAGUGUCUAGUGUCUGAAAUGGGAAAUGGUACCACUCUGGGAAGCAGACAGAAAUGCACACUUGUCUUGUGUACUUUUCCAAAAUACGAAAACAAAACUUUUUUUUUUUUUUGUCUGCACAUUUCCAGUUUCUGUUGCUGGCUUGAAAGUAGAUGAACAUUUUUGACCAGCUGAAAGUCUGAAUGGAUUUGCUCUCCCUUUGGCUAUGCCUACAUUUCACUAAUGAAUGAGAAUAAGGCAGACUGAGCAAACUGUGCCUUUAUGGGAGUCAAACUUUAUUCAUAUUUUAUUCACAUUUGUAGUGACCACUUUUCUGCUACAUGCAGAUACUAUAAGGUUUCAUGAAAUGAAGAAAUAUGCAUAAGAAAUAGAGGAUAAAAAGAUUAUCAUCCAUUUUUGUCUACCAUCUUUGCUCAUUAAAAUUACAAAGGUCCCAUUGAAACUAACUUAAAUUAAAUUUCAUUUAAACAGUUAACAAACAUAAUUCCCAUUUUGGGGGAAUUUCAUAAAUCUCAUUCCAUAAUUGAACAUUAACGUUUUUCCACAUUUUUAUGUUCUUAUUAUUUCAAGCCUUAUUUGAUUUUAAAUAAAUAGUUUAAAUAAAUGUCAUAAUUUGCUCAUGUCAAACCAGUAUGACAUUCCUUAUUCAGUAGAACACAAGCUGAGAAAUUUUUGAAUGUAUUGGUCUUUUUUUUUUACCAUGCAAUUAUAAUUAAUAAAUGCAUUUACAAUUAAAAAUAUCAUAUGGAUCACUUUUUAAUGCUUAUGCAUAAUUAAUCAUAAUUGCAAGAACAAAAAUGACCAGGAAUUUCUCCUUUUGUGUUCCACAAAAGAAAGUCAUACUUGUUUGGAACAACAUGAGAGUAAGGGUUUAUUUUUAGGUGAACUGUUCUAUUUAUUUCAGUCUGUUUAUCUGUUCACAUUAUUGAAGAAAUCUGAUCUUUUCCUCUGGAUAGUUCAGUUUUCCAUAUAUUUCACUGCAGAUAUUGAUUAGCUUGUUCAGCAUUGAAAAAUGAGCAUCUCUCUGUACUGUAUCUCUAAAUGGACAUAAAUGGAUGAGCAGAUGAGUUUACUUGUUUGCUUUAUAUUAAUCCAUCAAAUCCAUAUCAAAACUUAAACUGUGUAUUGUAAACACGAUAACCACACGUAACACCUCAGUUUAUACUUUUUAUAUCUAUAUCUCGCUGUUUUGUUAUCUGUCCUUUCAGACUUUGCAGUGUAUAUAUGUAAACACAUGUCGUUGCUAUUAGUAGUGGUAUUGUUAUUACUAUUAAAUCUUACUGUGGCAAGUGUUUUUCAUUUCCACUUCAUGUACAUACUAAUUGAAUGUAAAUAUUUGCAGAAAAAAAAACGAGCACGAUGUAAAUACAUUGUACGCAAGAAAAGCUUGUUUUUGUGUCGUCUGUGUGUUUUUCUAAGUUGUUUGAAAUAAUAAAAAUGUUUUGUUUGUAA
RNA transcript from Ctenopharyngodon idella (grass carp), 4425 nucleotides. RefSeq lists it as uncharacterized. NCBI's taxonomy places the organism in Eukaryota, Metazoa, Chordata, Actinopteri, Cypriniformes, Xenocyprididae. The record is from RefSeq and is a predicted model, not a curated record. The transcript is spliced from 9 exons.